UACGUAGGGUGCAAGCGUUAAUCGGAAUUACUGGGCGUAAAGCGUGCGCAGGCGGUUUUGUAAGUUUGUCGUGAAAUCCCCGGGCUCAACCUGGGAAUGGCGAUGAAGACUGCAAGGCUAGAAUCUGGCAGAGGGGGGGUAGAAUUCCACGUGUAGCAGUGAAAUGCGUAGAGAUGUGGAGGAACACCGAUGGCGAAGGCAGCCUCCUGGGUCAAGAUUGACGACU
RNAcentral lists this ribosomal RNA (226 nucleotides) under uncultured bacterium. RNAcentral describes it as "partial 16S ribosomal RNA". It matches the Rfam family "Bacterial small subunit ribosomal RNA", at positions 524 to 747 of the family's 1533-position model. The record is from RNAcentral.